Long non-coding RNA from Drosophila simulans, 1138 nucleotides. RefSeq lists it as uncharacterized. Lineage: Eukaryota; Metazoa; Arthropoda; Insecta; Diptera; Drosophilidae. The record is from RefSeq and is a predicted model, not a curated record. The transcript has 3 exons.
AACGAUCGAUUUGUUCGUUGUCUAUUUUACAUAAAUGUACAUAAAAUGAAUAGCAAUUUUACAUUGCGAAAUAUUUAUGAUACUAACUAUUUACUUCUCUAAAGAGUUCUUGCUAGAGUUGAAUAUUCAGCUGACGAUCGAAGUGCACUCACGAUAAAUGCAAAAUAAUUCAACUGAAUCUAAUUUGAAUGUUAAAUAAUAAAAAUGGAUCAUUUACAUACCUUAUUAUAGUGUCUUUGGCUAGACCCAUGAGCACCGAGAAGACGAUUUCUCGAAUUUUAAAUCUAUUUUGGUUUUCUAAAAUGCGCAACUUUGUAAAGCGCUACAUAAAUAGCGUUGUGAUAUACAAAUGCGCUCCAUCCAGUGAAAUAUAAAAGCAUUGAUAAAUAGUACCACUAAAUGUUCAUUUUUUUCAGAUCGUGUACGGUUAUGAGCCCCGAAAUAUUAAGAAUAUCUUGAGAAACGUAAUUCAAAUUCAGGAUCAAAAGAUGCUAACGGAUAAUGAGCGGACUAUACUGAGACAAACUCCGCCGUAACAACUGAUGAUCUGUCGGUUUGGUGAUAUUGUGUUGGUAGAGAAUGAGCCGUUCAGCACUGGAACAUCAAGAAAACUGGAGCCUGUCUAUAAAGCACCUUUCAUUAUUAUGAAGCGCCAGGACUAGCGGUAUCUGUUGACGGCGGUAAAGUCUUAACCAAUUAGCUAAAAAUUCUAAUUAAGUCAAAGGAGGUUUCACCCUCCCUACGCUCAGCUACUGGGAUGCUUGUAACGUACCCACCGGCGGUAUCUGGAUCGCCCUCGGGGAAGAUGGUGGACUAGGAUCCUAACCAACUGCUGCGUGCCGAUCGUUCGCAAGAAGUCGAAGAGGACAGGCGGGCUCUAGGAAGCGCCAACAUAGCCUGGAGACCCCAAAUGUGGAGACCGGAGUCCUCUACGCGGAACGAGCGACAAGUGGUGGCGGCCACCGAAAAGGUUUACCACCACGGCGGAGGAAAAGAGCGAGGAACAUUUGUUAUCCACGGCCUGUGGGCGGUCCGGCUCCUAAGCGGAUGAGAUACGAAUCUAAUGCUGAUCUGCCCUCUGUCAUCGUCACCCAAUAGAUAGGGGUAAUUUUUUUUUAUUAUUUGCUGCAUGAGAACA